Molecule: long non-coding RNA, 4990 nt
Filed under: Ficedula albicollis (Collared flycatcher)
Lineage: Eukaryota; Metazoa; Chordata; Aves; Passeriformes; Muscicapidae
Description: lncRNA (ENSFALG00000026915.1)
Source: RNAcentral
CAGGUUUAAAUGUAAUUUCUUGAGCCUCAGACCCAGCAGAAAAGCCAAGCUUUGGUUUUAUUAAAGUUUCCAGCAGGGGGAGGGUGCUGAAUUUGGGAAAAACCAAUUUCUCCGUGCUGUUUCCACCCAGUUGGAGCCAAGUGCUCUGGGAGCAAUGACUCGGGGACAGGAUUCCCAGGAGAGCUGGCAGCUGUGUUGUCUCCUAAAAAUAUCUCAAAAAACCCGCUCCAACCUGUCGGAAAUAGCGCGGGGAAGGAGCGGGAUGCGCUCCUGGGCUCCGGCAGGAGCCGGGAGGGGAUGUGACAGCAGAGAGGUGACAAAGCCGCGGGACAAGCAGCAGGAGCAUCCGAGGAGGAGGAGGAGGAGGAGGAGGAGGAAGGCUCUCCUGAAUGACAGCAACCCACAGCAAAGUGGUGACAGGGUUUGUCCCCUCCCCACACCCCCCAUGCCCUCUGGGGACCGUUCCUGCGCCCCCAGGAUGCUGGAGCAGCUUUCCUUGGCCAAGCUGGAGUGGGAGGAGGGAUCCCAGAGGAUCCCGUGGGGUCUGGGCAGCUCCAGGUCUCCAGCUCUGCCCGUCCCCAGCACAGCAACACCACCCACCCCUGGCAGUGCCACAGGGACCCCCAGGAAAGGCACUUGUGGCAUCAGGAGCUGCCCUGGCCCCGUGGUGAUCCCAGCAGGAAUUCUGGAUCCAAGCCCUCCCUGUGACAGGGCACAGCUGAGAGCAGAGGGGAGGAACUCGCCCCAAACUCACACCCUGCUCCAGACCCCCCCAACAAGCCAGGCAGCCCCAAAAUUAAGGUGAGGAGCCAUCAGCUCCAAAAGAUCCUGAAAAUGCAUUUUGAAGAAAAGUGUUUUUUUUUUUUUUUUUUUUUUUUAACCCCCCCCCCCCCCCCCCCCCCCCCCCCCCCCCCCCCCCCCCCCCCCCCCCCCCCCCCCCCCCCCCCCCCCCCCCCCCCCCCCCCCCCCCCCUUUUUUUUUUUUUUUUUUUUAAUGCGGGAUUUGGGGCAAGCUGGUCUCAUGGAAGUUAUUUUGUUUGGAAAUCCAAACAAUUCCGGGAUUCUGUGAUUUGGUUUUGGCAAGCUGGUCUCAUGGAAGUUAUUUUGUUUGGAAAUCCAAACAAUUCUGGAAUUCUAUGAUUUGGUUUCUUUGCCUGAUCUGCUCUGAUCCAAGACAAAAAACACCAGGAGGAGCAGCCCUACUGUGGAAAACUGGUCAGAGCUGAAACACCUCAGUGGAAAAUUAAAUUUGGAGUGGGGGGAGCAGCGCAGGGGGUGCUGCUGAUCAUGACUCUGAUUUUUGGGGACCUGGCAGAGCUCUGCCAAAGCUGCUCCUGCUGCCAGCAGGGAAUCACCAACUCUCCAUGAGCACCCCAGGAAUGUCCUCUUCCUCUUUAACACGAGACCUUUGUGGUUUUUUCCAUGGCAAGAAGUGAUUUUCCAUGGAGCCAGCAACCCCAGCUGAGCACCAGGAUUGCACCAGCACCACUCAGAGGUGAAAAUCAAAGGGAUUUGAAACACUUGAGCUGGGGAGGGGACGAAAGCUCCUCCUUUGGUGGCAGGAGCCCCUCUCCUUGCUGCACUGGGGGUGGUGUGUUAUUGCCUUCCCUUAAACAACAAUUUUCUGGGAUUUUUGGAAGUUCUGGUGGCACCAGCUUCAUUCUAUUCUUGACUGGCUGGGAAGUGUUGCUGUGUUUGAUCUUCCCUCGAGGUCUGAGAGAAGGAAAGGGAACAAUUUUAUCCUUCUGGAAAUCACAUCUGAGUUGUUUGUUCGCUUUUUUUUUUUUUUUUUUUUUUUUUUUUUUUUUCCCCCCCCCCCCCCCCCCCCCCCCCCCCCCCCCCCUUUUUUUUUUUUUUUUAGUUUUCUUUUUUGUUUGUUCGCUUAUUUUUAGAUUUUUUUUUUUUUUCAAAUAUUUUUAGAUUUCUCAACUGAGCUACCCCAAAUCAAAGGGUAAAUUUUCAAUUGUCCACCUUAAUGGUUUGCUCACUAAAAUCUGUGGAUCAUGAAUGGUCCAGAGGAGCUGCUGCCUUUUAACUAUUGAAACACAGCAGCAGCAGCUGGGAGUUCACAUCCUUCCCUCCCAGCUGUUUGCUCUGCAGCACAUUUUAUCUUUAUUCUAUUUGAGGGUCAACACCAAAACCAAGGGGGGGGCAAAAUCAGUGGCCCUGGAUGCUUUGGGGUUGUAACCCACUGGGAUUACCCAUGGAGGGGAUGAGAGAGAUUUAAAAACAUCCCAGGAACGCCCUGUGGAGCCUUCCCAUGGCACAGCCUCUCCGACCUGGGUUUCUCCAUCCAGAAAAGUUUUCCUGACACCUGAGUCAGCUCCUUCCUCCACGGCUCAGUCCCACACUGACCUGCAGAACAGAUUUAUCCCGCUCACUGCCCUUUGUGGCUUUGCACAGGGUUUGACCUGACUGAGGUUUUCACCUGUGCAGGUUGAUGUGAGCAUAACCAACCUAAAAUGCUGGGCUGUUUCCUCUCUGCUUUGUUUUCUCCUCUCUGCACUCUUAACCUUAUACUGAGUGCUGGAAUUACCACUGGGCUGAAAAUCCCCCUUGGGGACAUCCUAUUGUCCCACCCUGCUUGUGAAGGCUUUGGAGCAAACACCUCCUCCCUGAAGCUCUUAAUUGUGGGGUUAGGUUGGUUAAUUUUUUUAAUUCCCUCCACCAGCAAAAUACAGGCACAUUUUUCACCCAGGGAAGGUGGAGCUUGAGAGAGUGAGCCAGGUUUGGGCAAUAGAAAUCAGAUUUAUGCACAAAAAAAAAAAAAAAUAAAAAUUCUCAAAAGUAUUGAACUACUUCAAAGUCCAGGUUUGGGUUGCAAGUGUGAGAAUGAGGAUGUUUUCCAGAGGCUGUCACAUGAAUUGGGGGUGCCCAGGGGGCUGCAGUGAUGCUCCCAGGCACCAUUCCCACCCCACCCUGCUCAUCCCAGGCUCACCCCAGGGCACAGGGACCUGCCCAGGGACGGACCCAGCCUGGCUUGGCUCUGCUGGACUUGGCUCAGGCACUUCUGCGUGGGGGAGUGGAGGGGCAGGAGGGUCCUGGUGCUGCCACCAGCGGGGGGGACGUGGCUGUGGUGCUGCUCAGGGGUCACCUAAGGAGGGGACAGCACCCUCAAGGUGCUGCUGCCCAGUCGAGGGGGAAUUUAUGGGUGAGUGAGAGUUUGAGGCUUCUAAAGUGCAGUGCAGGUUACAUGGUCUUUGCUGUAGACUGUAAACUCCUCAGGACAGACUCCUUGCCCUUACUUUUAUUUUAUUUUAUUUUUUAUAUCUGUAAAGUGACAUUCCAGCUGAGAAAACCUUACCCCUAAACAACUACUACUACAGGAAAAAACGGGAAUCUUGGUGAAAGGAACAGCCUGGGCUCCCCUUGCCAGCGUCCCAUCAUGGGGAGUGCUUCCCAUGGCCACAGGGAGUUCCUGCCAGCUGUGCACCUCUGGAAUGCACCCUCCAAAAUUCCACCCCCCAGUGCUACGACCUGGCCCCCUCCAAGCAAAACUUCCACGUGUCAUUAAAGCUGAGGUGUUAAUUCAGGCUCAGGGGAGCCUGCAAAGCUUCUGUUCAGGCUGCUGGGUGUCUGGAAAGGGAGGGAGAGAUGGAAAAGUUGCUGGGAGGAAAUUUGAGAGCUCUUCUGUGGAAAGAGCUCUCUGAAGAAGCCAAGUUCAGCCUUAACUUUGUCUCUGGAGUAAAAACUUCCCAAAAUGAAGCAGCUGCAAAAGCAGGAGCUCUCGUGGGAUGGGAUGAUUGCUCUUCUCUAGGUCUCUUCCCCAGGUGGGAAAUUAGAACUUAGAAACUGCCUAAUCCAUUCUUCCUAGAGGACACUGAUCCUCUAAGAGCCACCAGCACCACCAGCCAGCUCCAGUGGUCACUAAAUCAGGAGACAGGGAACACUGCAGGACCUCUCCAACCUCCAGAAACCUGAGCAGGACCAGCCUUCACACCUGCUGUACCAUCAGAAAAAUCCCCUUUCAGAUGAACCUGGGAUGUCCAAGAGGUUCCUGAUGGACCUCAAGGAUGACAACCUUCCAUCAAUAUCUCCAAAAGAACCAAAAUGUCUCCAACAAAACCAAAAUGCCUCCAAUUCACUGUUCCACUGACUCCAUUUGUAUGUUCACAGGAUAUUUCCCCCCUCGUUGACAGCCAUAUUUAUUAUUUUUAAUCUAUGCCCAUAAAUUGGCAAGCAGGGGGAAGCAGAUAAAAUGGAAAAAGGAACUCUCAGGAGAUCAGUUGGGCUCAUUAAAUGUUUGGCACUCUGUGAUUAUCCUUUGGCAAUGAAAUGCCACUGCUAUAUUUUAGCAGGGAACACGAUACCUUAAUGUACAGGAGAAUCUCCUCAGCCCAAUUCUGGUACUCUUGAGAGAGGAGAAAUUCAAUCAUCUGUGACCUGGAUUGUAUUUUUUUAAUGUCUGCCAAGCUAGAUAAAAUAUUUAAAUAUUCACUUUUAUAUCAGCCCACAUGAGGAUUUGAGCAUUUCAGGUUGUGUAACACAGCAUGGCCUACUUUGGGGAGGAUGUACAGAAAUAGGCACAUAUGUACAAAAUAGUGAGUGUGCAGCAUGUGGGGCAGACAGACAGACAGACAGACAGAGUUAAUUAGUGUGGCACAAUCCCAGCUGCACCAGCCUGGGAAUUGCUGUCACUUCUGUUGGAUCUCAAAGGUCACCUGAGCAAAAACCAGGUGAAUCUGCCUCAAAUAAAGGUGGUCAAGCUUGGCUGAGUCCCUGUCUUGGGUUACAAUACAGGAUGUGACAGAAAUGUGGAUUCUGUCCCCACCUGCUGCAGCCGGGUGGGGCAGUGCCCCUGAUCUCCUGGCACACAUUAUCUGCUCAUGGGCCAGCUUUAAACCAGCUGGGCAAUCAUCUUUAUCUUCCCACAGCCCAUCCUCCCUCCAGGAGAUAUCUCCUGUUCAUGGCCACUGAGUCCCAGGGCAUGGCUGAUAAAAUUCCAUCCCCCCCCCCCCCCCCCCCCCCCCCCCCCCCCCCCCCCCCCCCCC